RNAcentral lists this ribosomal RNA (370 nucleotides) under uncultured bacterium. Its description in RNAcentral is "bacterial SSU rRNA". It matches the Rfam family "Bacterial small subunit ribosomal RNA", at positions 524 to 898 of the family's 1533-position model. The record is from RNAcentral.
UACGGAGGAUCCAAGCGUUAUCCGGAAUCAUUGGGUUUAAAGGGUCCGUAGGCGGCCCUGUAAGUCAGUGGUGAAAUCUCCCGGCUCAACCGGGAAAUUGCCAUUGAUACUGCAGGGCUUGAAUUACUAGGAAGUAACUAGAAUAUGUAGUGUAGCGGUGAAAUGCUUAGAGAUUACAUGGAAUACCAAUUGCGAAGGCAGGUUACUACUAGUGGAUUGACGCUGAUGGACGAAAGCGUGGGUAGCGAACAGGAUUAGAUACCCUGGUAGUCCACGCCGUAAACGAUGGAUACUAGCUGUUGGGGGUAACUUCAGUGGCUAAGCGAAAGUGAUAAGUAUCCCACCUGGGGAGUACGGGCGCAAGCCUGAA